Molecule: ribosomal RNA, 253 nt
Filed under: uncultured bacterium
Lineage: Bacteria
Description: partial 16S ribosomal RNA
Rfam family: Bacterial small subunit ribosomal RNA
Source: RNAcentral
GACAGAGGGUGCAAACGUUGUUCGGAAUUACUGGGCGUAAAGCGUGUGUAGGCGGCUAUGUAAGUCGGAUGUGAAAGCCCUGGGCUCAACCCAGGAAGUGCACUCGAUACUGCGUAGCUUGAGUACCGGAGAGGUUGGUGGAAUUCUCGGUGUAGAGGUGAAAUUCGUAGAUAUCGAGAGGAACACCGGUGGCGAAGGCGGCCGACUGGACGAGUACUGACGCUGAGACACGAAAGCGUGGGGAGCAAACAGG